This 572-nucleotide long non-coding RNA is filed under the name Sorghum bicolor (sorghum). Its description in RNAcentral is "long non-coding RNA (SBIC_LNC013207)". Lineage: Eukaryota; Viridiplantae; Streptophyta; Magnoliopsida; Poales; Poaceae. The record is from RNAcentral.
AGGGCUUGUUUAUUUUCAAAAUUUUUACAAUUUUUUUUCAAUUUUUUUGUUAUAUCGAAUCUUAUUACACAUACACAGAACAUUAAAUAUAAAUAAAUAAAUAAAUAAUUUACAAUUUGCCUGUAAUUUAGAAGACAGACCUUUUAAGUCUAAUUAAGGGGUGUUGGGACUGCUCCGCUCUAGUUUUUCCAGCUCCACUCCAGUUUUGCGUUGCCAAACACGUCUAGCUCCACGAACUCCGCUCCGCAAAAAAGGUGGAGCUAGAGGCCAGCUCCAUAUUUUUUCUGAAGUACCUCAAGGGGUACUCUAGUUUUUGGAGUCUGGUACUCCCACAUAAAGUUGUGAGGUAAUUACCCACGUUGCCACUCGUUAAUCAUGGAUUAGUUCUCAUAAACCCUAUCCUUCCGAUGUCGUGACCUAAUUUCUUUCUGUCUGCGCCGCCCCUGUUAAUUAUUUGUAUUUUAAUUAUGACCUCUGUUAAUGUUCCAUCAAGAGCAAUUUCGAUUAGGGGGAUAAUAGAUUAUUUGCAUGGAAACAACCCAUUUUUAGAGUUGGAGCAAAGCUACGUGCCA